GACGAACGCUGGCGGCGUGCUUAACACAUGCAAGUCGAACGGAAAGGCCCUGCUUUUGUGGGGUGCUCGAGUGGCGAACGGGUGAGUAACAAGUGAGUAACCUGCCCUUGACUUUGGGAUAACUUCAGGAAACUGGGGCUAAUACCGGAUAGGAGCUCCUGCUGCAUGGUGGGGGUUGGAAAGUUUCGGCGGUUGGGGAUGGACUCGCGGCUUAUCAGCUUGUUGGUGGGGUAGUGGCUUACCAAGGCUUUGACGGGUAGCCGGCCUGAGAGGGUGACCGGCCACAUUGGGACUGAGAUACGGCCCAGACUCCUACGGGAGGCAACAGUGGGGAAUAUUGCACAAUGGGCGGAAGCCUGAUGCAGCAACGCCGCGUGCGGGAUGACGGCCUUCGGGUUGUAAACCGCUUUCGCCUGUGACGAAGCGUGAGUGACGGUAAUGGGUAAAGAAGCACCGGCUAACUACGU
This 467-nucleotide ribosomal RNA is filed under the name uncultured bacterium. Its description in RNAcentral is "partial 16S ribosomal RNA". It matches the Rfam family "Bacterial small subunit ribosomal RNA", at positions 28 to 506 of the family's 1533-position model. The record is from RNAcentral.